RNAcentral lists this non-coding RNA (209 nucleotides) under Halanaerobium saccharolyticum. RNAcentral's name for it is "T-box sequence". It matches the Rfam family "T-box leader". Rfam says of the family: Uncharged tRNA acts as the effector for transcription antitermination of genes in the T-box leader family. T-boxes are found upstream of many aminoacyl-tRNA synthetase genes and some amino acid biosynthetic genes usually in Gram-positive bacteria. Lineage: Bacteria; Bacillati; Bacillota; Clostridia; Halanaerobiales; Halanaerobiaceae. The record is from RNAcentral.
UUAAAUUCAUUGAAUGAGAGAGUAAAAAUAAUAUUAUAUUAAAGCAAGUCGGAACAGCUGAAAGUCCGAUAUGUAAAUUAUUUUGAAACGCACUCAGGAGAAUCUCUAUUGAAAAAAAGUAGAUAGAGACGUUAGACGCGUUAAGUUAUAGAGUGGUCAGUAUUAACUGGCAACUAGAGUGGUAACACGGGUAGUUCCUCGUCUCUUAU